GACAGUCUCAGUUCGGAUUGAAGGCUGAAACUCGCCUACAUGAAGCUGGAGUUGCUAGUAAUCGCGAAUCAGCAUGUCGCGGUGAAUACGUUCCCGGGCCUUGUACACACCGCCCGUCACACCAUGAGAGUUGGCAAUACCCAACGUACGUGAUCUAACCCACAAGGGAGGAAGCGUCCUAAGGUAGGGUCAGCGAUUGGGGUGAAGUCGUAACAAGGUAAC
RNAcentral lists this ribosomal RNA (222 nucleotides) under uncultured bacterium. RNAcentral's name for it is "partial 16S ribosomal RNA". It matches the Rfam family "Bacterial small subunit ribosomal RNA", at positions 1281 to 1500 of the family's 1533-position model. The record is from RNAcentral.